Molecule: ribosomal RNA, 491 nt
Filed under: uncultured Gammaproteobacteria bacterium
Lineage: Bacteria; Pseudomonadati; Pseudomonadota; Gammaproteobacteria
Description: bacterial SSU rRNA
Rfam family: Bacterial small subunit ribosomal RNA
Source: RNAcentral
ACGAGCGGCGGACGGGUGAGUAAUGUCUGGGGAUCUGCCUGAUGGAGGGGGAUAACUACUGGAAACGGUAGCUAAUACCGCAUAACGUCGCAAGACCAAAGAGGGGGACCUUCGGGCCUCUUGCCAUCAGAUGAACCCAGAUGGGAUUAGCUAGUAGGUGGGGUAAUGGCUCACCUAGGCGACGAUCCCUAGCUGGUCUGAGAGGAUGACCAGCCACACUGGAACUGAGACACGGUCCAGACUCCUACGGGAGGCAGCAGUGGGGAAUAUUGCACAAUGGGCGCAAGCCUGAUGCAGCCAUGCCGCGUGUAUGAAGAAGGCCUUCGGGUUGUAAAGUACUUUCAGCGAGGAGGAAGGCAUUAAGGUUAAUAACCUUAGUGAUUGACGUUACUCGCAGAAGAAGCACCGGCUAACUCCGUGCCAGCAGCCGCGGUAAUACGGAGGGUGCAAGCGUUAAUCGGAAUUACUGGGCGUAAAGCGCACGCAGGCGG